Molecule: ribosomal RNA, 313 nt
Filed under: Scymnus folchinii
Lineage: Eukaryota; Metazoa; Arthropoda; Insecta; Coleoptera; Coccinellidae
Description: LSU rRNA
Rfam family: Eukaryotic large subunit ribosomal RNA
Source: RNAcentral
CCAAGGAGUCUAGCGUGUGCGCGAGUCAUUGGGAUAACACUAAACCUAAAGGCGCAAUGAAAGUAAAAGUUCGCCUAGCGCGAACCGAGGGAAGACGGUCGGUCUCUCAAGGAUCGGCCCGCAUUCCCGGGGCGUCUCGUUCUCAUUGCGAGAAGAGGCGCACCAAGAGCGUACACGCUGGGACCCGAAAGAUGGUGAACUAUGCCUGGUCAGGACGAAGUCAGGGGAAACCCUGAUGGAGGUCCGUAGCGAUUCUGACGUGCAAAUCGAUCGUCGGAACUGGGUAUAGGGGCGAAAGACUAAUCGAACCAUC